Long non-coding RNA from Polyodon spathula (Mississippi paddlefish), 271 nucleotides. RefSeq lists it as uncharacterized. The transcript has 3 exons. NCBI's taxonomy places the organism in Eukaryota, Metazoa, Chordata, Actinopteri, Acipenseriformes, Polyodontidae. The record is from RefSeq and is a predicted model, not a curated record.
CACUGAUGGAACAUUUUGUUAAUGCAGGAGGAGCAGAGGGAACUGAGGGGGAGAAGAAACGUUGCCUUUUAUUUCAUUAGAAAGAAGCUCAAGGUUAUGACAGAAAGCCAAGAAGAAUGAAUACGACUUCCAUAAACACACUGGCCAUCUUAUUGAGGAGGAGGCUUCUAAAAGCAAAUUUGUCAGUGACUGAUGGAGAAAUUAAGGCAAUGGAUACUGAUUUCUAUUAAACUAUGUGGAAGGCUAUCAGCUGGUCUCUCUUCUAAAUAGC